This 730-nucleotide ribosomal RNA is filed under the name uncultured organism. RNAcentral describes it as "bacterial SSU rRNA". It matches the Rfam family "Bacterial small subunit ribosomal RNA", at positions 80 to 808 of the family's 1533-position model. The record is from RNAcentral.
UUGCUGAAUACACGACCGGCGCACGGGUGAGUAACACGUAUGCAACCUUCCUCUAACUGGAGAAUAGCCCGAGGAAGUGCGGAUUAAUACUCCAUAAAGUCAAUUUAAGGCAUCUUUUAUUGAUUAAAGCUCCGGCGGUUAGAGAUGGGCAUGCGUGUCAUUAGCUAGUUGGUGAGGUAACGGCUCACCAAUGCCACGAUGACUAGGGGGUCUGAGAGGAUGAUCCCCCACACUGGUACUGAGACACGGACCAGACUCCUACGGGAGGCAGCAGUGAGGAAUAUUGGGCAAUGGACGCAAGUCUGACCCAGCCAUGCCGCGUGCAGGAUGACUGCCCUAUGGGUUGUAAACUGCUUUUGUUUGGGAAGAAACCCCCGAUCGUGAUCGGGGCUGACGGUACCAUACGAAUAAGCAUCGGCUAACUCCGUGCCAGCAGCCGCGGUAAUACGGAGGAUGCAAGCGUUAUCCGGAUUCAUUGGGUUUAAAGGGUGCGCAUGCGGAAUAUUAAGUCAGUGGUGAAAUCCUGCAGCUUAACUGUAGAACUGCCAUUGAUACUGAUAUUCUUGAAUAUAGUUGAGGUGGGCGGAAUGUGUACUGUAGCGGUGAAAUGCUUAGAUAUUACACAGAACACCAAUUGCGAAGGCAGCUCACUAAACUAAUAUUGACGCUGAGGCACGAAAGCGUGGGUAGCAAACAGGAUUAGAUACCCUGGUAGUCCACGCUGUAACCU